AAGCACGACGCUCCCAAGGCUGGAGGGCAGACAUAGCCGCCACCCAGAAGGAAAGCACAGGUCAGCAGCGGACUAAAGCCACAACCCCAGCCAGGGAACCCUUCCAAAACACAGAGGAGCCAUAUGAGAAUAUCAGGAAUGAAGGACAAAAUACAGAUCCCAAGCUAAAUCCCAAGGAUGACGGCAUCGUCUAUGCUUCCCUUGCCCUCUCCAGCUCCACCUCACCCAGAGCACCUCCCAGCCACCGUCCCCUCAAGAGCCCCCAGAACGAGACCCUGUACUCUGUCUUAAAGGCCUAACCAAUGGACAGCCCUCUCAAGACUGAAUGGUGAGGCCAGGUACAGUGGCGCACACCUGUAAUCCCAGCUACUCUGAAGCCUGAGGCAGAAUCAAGUGAGCCCAGGAGUUCAGGGCCAGCUU
This 420-nucleotide long non-coding RNA is filed under the name Homo sapiens (human). RNAcentral's name for it is "HSALNT0126382". The record is from RNAcentral. Lineage: Eukaryota; Metazoa; Chordata; Mammalia; Primates; Hominidae.